Molecule: long non-coding RNA, 7129 nt
Organism: Alligator mississippiensis (American alligator)
Lineage: Eukaryota; Metazoa; Chordata; Crocodylia; Alligatoridae
Exons: 5
Source: RefSeq, a predicted model, not a curated record
UCUUCAAGAAAAUCUGGCAGAAGGUCACAGUCAUUUGAGGGAGAGAGUAAACAGGGUAAGAAAAGGAUAGAAUGGGAUUACAAGAGGAGUACUCUGCCCAAUACAUGCAGGUCAUGCUGUCAACCCAAAAGUACUGGAAUUGAACUCAGCCAAAACUAGACACCUGAGAGGUCAUGCUGGUUUGGUAUGUCUGCUCCACUAGGUGUUGGAUAUGUUAUAACAUAGAGACUGCUAUCUGUUACUGAAUGUUUUUCCUGUCUUUCUAGGAGGAUCCAUUGACGCAUCUCAAGGAAGGCAAAGGAUGUCAUCCUCCCACUUUACUCAGCCUUGGUGAGAAUGCAACUGGAGUACUGCAUCCAGUUCUGGGUGCUGUACUUCAAGAAGGAUGUGGAGAAGCUCAAGAGAGUCCAGCUGAGGGCCACAUGCAUGAUUAGAGGCCUGGAGACCAAGAUGUAUGCGGAGAGACUGAAGGACUUGGGAUUGUUCAGCCUGGAGAUGCGAAGAGUCAGGGGAGACUUGGUUGCAGCCUGGGAGACACCAUGAUCUAGAAGAUGGUUUUCCUACCAGCAGGGGAUAACUGCUUUUCUGACAAGAGAGUAAGAUCUUCAGAGUCUACAGAGCUUCAAAGACUGCAGAGUGCUUACAGACCAGCUAAGUAUUACCCAAAUCUAUAUGAUUUAGGUCUUUUUUCUAGUGGGUCUGCUCCCAAAUGUAAACUCAGAAAAUACUAGAAGAUGGUUGGGAAACAAGGCUUACCACAAACAACUUGUAGAAAUUUUGAAAUAACAUCCUUAGAUGAGCUACAGAAUAUCUAGCUGCCACCACAUGUCUUCAAAUUAUAGGCCUACUUCAACAGCCCGCUAAAGACAGUGAAAGUUUUGCAUGCGGAUCUUGUCCUCUGAUGUUUAUUUUAAAACUUGCCAGUAAGUUGGGUCUGUUAAGAGAUUAACGGGUAAUAUAACUGUGGAUUUGUCUAGUUUUGCAUUAGGUUGUCAUAGCUGAAAUUCACUGACAUGUAAAAAAUAGUCAUCGCUUUUCAUUUAUGUGGUGGUGGUGCUGACAGGUGUUGACUGACUGUCCACAGCUUUCAAAAAGAUAUUUUUACUAUAUGUUCAGAUAGAGUUCUAGCACAUUUCUGUCUCAUACUGGACACUUAAAAAGGCAAACAGUCUAAAGCAAUACUUUGUAAACUUUUUUAUCACAAGUACAUUUCCCAACCAGGUAAAAGUGAUAGGUACAUACCAGCUAUUCUCCAGCAUACCAAGUCCCUCCAGCAAAGAACUUGCAUCCAAUAACUGUGUUAAUUUCUGAAUAUAAAACCAAAUUUUGUUCUCAAACUUGUAUAACCACCUUCUCUUUGAUAGGGCUUCACUGUGAGGUAUGUUUUUAAGUAUUUCAUCCAUAGUAAGCUGUAUAACCAACGGAGGGAAGAAAUCACAAGAUGAAUAUUUUAAUAAGUUUAAAAAUCACCACAGUCACAAAGUAAACACCAUUUGCAUUUAAUCAGCUUCUUAGCAGUGUUGCAAAACAUACUCACCAUCUGUCAGGCAUCUACUCCCAAAUACCAAAAGCUGCUAUCCUAAUAAAAUGUGAAAUAAGCCAUCUCCAUAAAAUAUUUGAUAAAUCUAUAAAAGCAGAAUAGCGCAUAAUAAGCAACCCCAUAAAAUCCAUGAAACAUAAGCUUUAGUCAUUAGAUUUCAUUGUUUCUCAGUUUAACCAAACCAAACAGAUAAUUAAGCAAUUAUUUUAACAGUAUAGCCCAGUUCAUGUCAUAAAAAAAUCAAUCAAGUUUUAAAGAUAAUUAGGGGAAAUCAUCAGAGGGUGAUAUGACAAUGGCACCUUGUUGAUAUUUUUAUUAAAUUGCAAACAAUGAAUUAACUUAUCUUGAAAUUAUCCUGAAAUGAACAUAUUUAAUCUGUGAUAAAACCUCCCAAAUGUUACUCUUCGGUUCAAAAGAGAAACAGAACUGCUUUGUAUCAUGGUCAUUAAGAGCAGUACAUAUGCAGUCUAUUAACAAUGCUACUUAUUUUAAGGACCGCAAAGUCAUAAGGUAGAUAAGGAUCUCCCCAGUAAAUGUGUCACAUGAUAAAGUAUUCUUUUAAUGGGUAUAUUGACUUAUGGAGCAAAUCCUACUUGCCUUACUCCCAGCAAAAUAAGUGAAGGGAAAAACAGUCAUUAUCCUUAGCAGUACUAUUUGCCUAAAUCAGGCAGGAUUUGGCCCUAAAGUUAAAAUGAUGUAAUUCCCAGAGGAAUGAAGAGAAAUAAUUAAAUACAGAAAAUAUACAUCAAACAGUAGUGAAUACAUUUCUUGGUUUCUGAAGCCUAACUUGGGAGGUAUGGGCAUUAGUCUCUCUCUCCUCAUAAACUUUUAUUUUUUCAAUCCAGUAAUAUCUGUGAGUUUCAUAUAAAUACUUGUAUAGCAUACAAGAAAGGGCUGAGGGAAAAAAUGAAAUCCCUGUGAGUUGAAACUUAAUAGAUUGCAGUUGGUUGUUCCAAAUUGUUUGUGGUUAAGAGCGUUUAAAGUUUUAAAAGCUGAGUAUUAUUAUAGUAUGAAUAGGUCAGGAUUUUUUCUUCUGCCGAAUAAUUUUUACCAGGAAUUUUCACCUUGAACAAAAACAGGACCUGAACGCAAACAGCAGAUGCUAAUUUUAAACACUUUUUUGUGGAAUAUGUUUUACUGAAAGUAUCUGGAAGUUGAAGGACUUGAUUUUCAGCAGCAGCAACCCCUCUGGUACCACACUGUCUGCCUUAUACAACUCUAAGGCCAGUUGGUACAGCCUUCUUUCCUUUGAGCUCUUAAGCAUAUUGCUUCAUGUCCAAACCUCCUCUUUUGAUGUCAGUUUACUUAACUAAGGACACAGUGGGCGCCUCUACAUGAGACACUACUGCACAGUGGUUACUGCACAUUUAGUUAGAAUUUGUAUCAGCAAGUACUAACUAAAUGUGCAGUAACUGGCAUUACUGUGCAGUUGUGUCAGCAAACAUCUUUUAAGUGAUGCUACUUCACAAUAGCAUAUUAGCACUGUCUGUGCUAUGACCUGCUACUGCACAAUAUUAUUCAGCUACUGCACACUCAGUGUUUUGUGUAGAUGCACCCAGUGGCAGGGAGAAACUAAAACUACAUAGGAUCUCUCUUGACCAAACUAGAGCAGCCUCAAGGAUGCUAGCUUGCACCAGUGUUGGUAUUUUGGAUGGAUGCAGGGGGUGGGGGAGGGCAAUUGCCAACCAAUGGUCAGUGUCAAACCGGUGAAGGAGCACAUAAAAUGGCUGAAUGUCUUCAGGUCGGCAGGACCAGAUGGCCUACACUCAAGAACACUGAGGGAAUUGGCUGGAGUCAUUGCAGGACCAUUGGCAAAGGUAUUUGAAGACUUGUGGUGCUCAGGAGAGGUCCUGGAAGACUGGAAAAGUUGCCAGUCUUUAUGAAGGGGAGGAGGGAGGAUCUGGGAAACUAUAAGUCAGUCAGUUUGACUUUGAUACUGGGUAAUUUUUUGGAAAAAAUUAUCAAGAAGUCCAUUUGUGGAGACUGGAAGAAAGCAUGAUGCUGAAGGAUAGCCAACAUGGUUUAAUUGCAGGCAGAUUGUGUCUGACCAACCUUAUCUUAUUCUAUGAUCCAGUAACGAACCACUUGGAUGUGAGAGAUGCUUUUGAUGUCAUACACUUGGAUUUUAAAAAGGCCUUCAAUAUGAUUCUCUUAUAAAAAAAACUGGGGGAUUGUGGGCUGGCAGAGUCCAUGGUCAGGUGGGUUGGGAACUGGCUAAUGAGUUGAACCCAGGGAGUGUUAGUGGAUGGGUCUGUAUCAUCUUGGCAGGAGGUGGCCAGUGGUAUCCCUCAGGGUUUGGUUCUGGGAUGCAUUAGCCAAUGUGUCAUGAGCAGGGCUAAGGAAGUGAUACUUCCUCGCUACUCAGCGCUGGUGAGACCCCAGCUGGAGUGCUGUGUCCAGUUCUGGGCGCUGCACUUCAAAAAAGAUGUAGAGAAUCUUGAAAGGGUCCAAAGAAGGGCCACAAGAAAGAUUGAGGGUCUGGAGGACAAAUCUUAUGAGGAAAAACUAAGGAAUCUGAGACUGCUCAGCCUAGGGAAGAGAAGACUGAGGCGGGACUUGGAGGCCAUCUAUAAGUAUGUAAGGGGCAUAUAUCGGGAGCUGGGAGAAAAACUAUUCACUAGGGUGCCCCAGGGGAGGACAAGAAGCAGUGGCCAUAAACUGUUAGAGAAUGUUGGAUGUAAGGAAGAACUUCUUUACAGUGAGGAUGACCAGAAUCUGAAACAGACUUCCCAAGGAAGUGGUAGAGUCCUCAACCAUGAAAGUCUUCAAGAGGAGACUGGACAGACACUUGCUUGGAUCAUUUGGGAUCAGAGUGGAGGGGGUUGGACUUAAUGAUCUUUUGAAGUCCCUUCCAGCCCUUAAUUUCCAUGAUUCUAUGAUGCUAAGAAACCAUUUUUCCAGGCCGGGAUUGCAGGAGCCCUGUGUACUCUGUGAUUAUAUCUCCUAUGCAGGGGAAAAGGAAGGAAGAGGUAGAUGUCGUAAAUAUAGACAUGCUAGCUUUACAACCCUAUGAACACUCAACCAGCUUGCUAUCUCCUGUACCCUCAAAGCACCACAAACAGGACAUAGAAGAGUUAAGGAUGUUUGCCUUUUGAAUGCGCCCACUGUGGAUGAGAAGACUGAGCUGAAUUGACAUUAGGACCUGGAUGUUAUUUUAGAAAGAGGACUGGAUGUUAUUUGAGAAAGAGGAGAGCUGUUGCAGAGAACUGGCUUCAGGAAUAAGAAGAGGCUUCAUUGUUCAGAAGAGCAGCCAGGAGCUGCCGGUCAGAGAUCCUGGGCACCUUGAAGGAUUCUGGCUCAGAGAAGACAACUAUGGAGUUCAGAAACUGAAGUAGGGAAAUGUGCGCAAGUGUUUAUUAUUUAUUAUCUAUGUUUUGUCCUUGAUAAAGCAAAGAAUAAUUGCUUUUUGGAACCUUUGAACAAUCUGUGCUGAGGGAGUUUGCUGAUAUGAUUGCAGAGCCAUUGGCCAUAAUCUUUGAACACUUUGGUGAUCAAGAGGGGUCCCAGAUAAUUGGAAAUGGGCAAAUGUAGUGCCUAUAUUUAAGAAAGGGAAAAAGGAGGAUACAGGGAACUACAGAUCAGUCAGCCUCACCACAGUCCCUGGAAGAAUCAUGGAGCAGACCCUCAAGACGUCCAUCUUGAAGCACUUGGAGGAGAAGAAGGUGAUUAGGAACAGUUAGCAUAGAUUCACCAAGGGCAAGUCAUGCUUGAACAACCUGAUUGCCUUCUAUGAUGAGAUGACUGGCUCUGUGGAUGGGGGAAGACCGGUGGAUGUAGUGCACCUUGAUUUUAGCAAGGUUUUUGAUGCUGCCUCCCACAACAAUCUCCCAGGCAAGCUGGGGAAGUAUGGGCUGGAAGAAUGGACUGUAAGGUGGAUAGAAAACUGGUUGAAGUAUCAGACUUAAAGAGUAGUAAUCAAUUGCUUGAUGUCUAAUUGGCAAACAGUAUCAAGUGGAGUGCCCCAGGGGUUGGUCUGAGGGCUGGUUUGGUUCAAUGUCUUCAUCAACGACCUGGAAGAUGGCAUAAGCUAAGAAAGGCUACCCUAAGGAAGGCUGCAGAUCACACCAAGCUGGGGGGAGUAGUAGAUAUGCUGGAGGGUAAGGCUAGGACUCAGAGGGCACACCCACACAUGCAGGCACAUGCGCUUGCAACAGCUCAAAUAGAAGCGGUGCAAAUUUGAGCCGGGGCUUUUUGCCUCAGCACACAUGCUCAGACAUGCACUUUGUUGUGGAGUAAAUUGUGCCACUUGGGACAAAAUAACCCUGCCUGGCUCCUCACAAAUCUGCAGCCAGGGGGAACUAGAGCCUGGGGCCAGCACCUGUCCUGGCCCCAGCAGUACAAAAAACUGCCCUGGCAAGUAGGUCAGGGCCACUGGCUCUCAGAAGCUUCUGGGGUCCAGCCAACUGGUACCUGGGGACAGGACCCCUUGUCCCAGUUGGACUGCUGAAGCAGCCCUGAGAGUUUCCUGCACCCUCUACCCACUGUAGCCAUGUGGCAGUGGGGGCUGCUGCCUGGCUGUAACCUGCUGUGCACCUGCCAGACCUGGAUGGGGACUGCACAGCCAGUAGAGGCAUCUACCCCUCUGGGCCAGCUUCCAUUUGGCUGUGGUUGCAGGUUUGGCCUUUGUGCAACACUACUGCCAUGCGUGCCCCUGCCUGGCCAUCUGGGCAGCUAUUGCCCAGAAGAUGUUCCCAGUGUGGUGGCCUGAUUUGAACUGUCAAAGCAUGUCCUCCUGGCCCGAAUUGGCCAAGAGGUCAGCCACCUUCAGCUGGGUCCAAGAUACCAGCCCUGAGCAGGCAGGGUCCUGCCACUGGCCUCCCUAGCAGGAAUUCUGGUGUUCCCUAUUUGAAAAUUGAAAAAUCCCUGAUAAAAAAUCCCAAAGUCACUCUGUAAAAUACCCCAAAAUCCAUGUUCCUCCAUGAUCAAAACAAAAGACCACUAUAUAUAUAUAGAGAGAGAGAGUGACAGACAGAGAGACAGCAAUCAGUUGGGCAUGUUUUAUUGAUAUAUCUACAGUGUUAAAGCAAUUUGGAUGCCUAGCAGUGUCUCUAUCAUUAUAAAAAAAUGAAUUCUAAAUACCUCUAUGUUUUUCUGCCCCCCACAGGGACUACAGCCCCUCACCAGGUGUUACAGUCCCCCCCACAGGGGCUACAGCCCCCCACCAGAAGUUACAGCACCCCCAACAGGGGCCAAAUGGCCCCCACAGGGGCUACCAACUCCCCUGCAGGGCCCACAUGCCCCACCCCAACCCCCGAUUGUUGCCCCACCAGGACCCAUCCCCUGCUGGCUCCUGCAGCUCCCCUCAAUAGCUGCCCUACCCAUCCCCACCCCCUGCUACCCCAGACCCCCAAAUGGCUGUCCCACCCAGCCCCAGCCCCCGGUUGCACCCCCAGCCCCCUGAGAGCUGCCGCCCCCAACUGUAGGCUCUGGCACUUAAAAAAAAUGCCUCUAUUCACCAUAGAAGUAGGUGCUGUUCUAAGCAAAGGGCAACGGGGGGCAGCAGGGCCCAGAGGGCUGCUGGGGCUGUCACCCCACCCCACUGUGCAGGCAGGGCCCCAGUGACCCAGACGGCAGCUAGAAAUGCUGGGG